CCCCGUACCGCAAACCGACACAGGUGGGCGAGAAGAGAAUUCUAAGGCGCGCGGAACAACUCUCGUUAAGGAACUCGGCAAAAUGACCCCGUAACUUCGGGAGAAGGGGUGCCUCGGUAGGGUGAAUAGCCCGAGGGGGCCGCAGUGAAAAGGCCCAAGCGACUGUUUAGCAAAAACACAGGUCUGUGCGAAGCCGCAAGGCGAAGUAUACGGGCUGACGCCUGCCCGGUGCUGGAAGGUUAAGAGGAGUGGUAAGUCCGCAAGGGCGAAGCUAUGAAUUGAAGCCCCAGUAAACGGCGGCCGUAACUAUAACGGUCCUAAGGUAGCGAAAUUCCUUGUCAGGUAAAUUCUGACCCGCACGAAUGGCGUAACGACUUGGGCGCUGUCUCAACGAGAGAUCCGGUGAAAUUUUAAUACCUGUGAAGAUGCAGGUUACCCGCGACAAGACGGAAAGACCCCAUGGAGCUUUACUGUAGCUUACUAUUGAAUUUGGGUAUGAUCUGUACAGGAUAGGUGGGAACCGUAGAGACAUGAGCGCCAGCUUGUGUGGAGGUGACGUUGGGAUACCACCCUGAUCCUACCUAGAUUCUAACCUGUGCCCCUGAAUCGGGGCAAGGGACCGUGGUAGGUGGACAGUUUGACUGGGGCGGUCGCCUCCUAAAGUGUAACGGAGGCGCCCCAAGGUUCCCUCAGAAUGGUUGGAAAUCAUUCGCAGAGUGCAAAGGCAUAAGGGAGCUUGACUGCGAGACCUACAAGUCGAGCAGGGACGAAAGUCGGGCUUAGUGAUCCGGUGGUUCCGAAUGGAAGGGCCAUCGCUCAACGGAUAAAAGCUACCCUGGGGAUAACAGGCUUAUCUCCCCCAAGAGUCCACAUCGACGGGGAGGUUUGGCACCUCGAUGUCGGCUCAUCGCAUCCUGGGGCUGAAGUAGGUCCCAAGGGUUGGGCUGUUCGCCCAUUAAAGCGGUACGCGAGCUGGGUUCAGAACGUCGUGAGACAGUUCGGUCCCUAUCUGUCGUGGGCGCAGGAAAUCUGAGAGGAGCUGUCCUUAGUACGAGAGGACCGGGAUGGACGUUCCGCUGGUGUACCAGUUGUUCCGCCAGGAGCAUCGCUGGGUAGCCAAGAACGGACGGGAUAAGCGCUGAAAGCAUCUAAGCGUGAAGCCCCCCUCAAGAUGAGAUUUCCCAGUAUGUAAGACCCCUUGUAGACGACGAGGUAGAUAGGUCUGAGGUGGAAGCGCAGCAAUGUGUGGAGCUGACGGAUACUAAUCGGUCGAGGGCUCACCCA
This 1284-nucleotide ribosomal RNA is filed under the name metagenome. RNAcentral's name for it is "bacterial LSU rRNA". It matches the Rfam family "Bacterial large subunit ribosomal RNA", at positions 1640 to 2925 of the family's 2925-position model. The record is from RNAcentral.